RNAcentral lists this ribosomal RNA (484 nucleotides) under uncultured bacterium. Its description in RNAcentral is "bacterial SSU rRNA". It matches the Rfam family "Bacterial small subunit ribosomal RNA", at positions 1 to 499 of the family's 1533-position model. The record is from RNAcentral.
CCCUUAGAGUUUGAUCCUGGCUCAGGAUGAACGCUGGCGGCGUGCUUAACACAUGCAAGUCGAACGGGAUCCAUCAGGCUUUGCUUGGUGGUGAGAGUGGCGAACGGGUGAGUAAUGCGUGACCGACCUGCCCCAUACACCGGAAUAGCUCCUGGAAACGGGUGGUAAUGCCGGAUGCUCCAGUUGAUCGCAUGGUCUUCUGGGAAAGCUUUCGCGGUAUGGGAUGGGGUCGCGUCCUAUCAGCUUGACGGCGGGGUAACGGCCCACCGUGGCUUCGACGGGUAGCCGGCCUGAGAGGGCGACCGGCCACAUUGGGACUGAGAUACGGCCCAGACUCCUACGGGAGGCAGCAGUGGGGAAUAUUGCACAAUGGGCACAAGCCUGAUGCAGCGACGCCGCGUGAGGGAUGGAGGCCUUCGGGUUGUAAACCUCUUUUAUCGGGGAGCAAGCGAGAGAGAGUUUACCCGUGAAUAAGCACCGGCUA